GAUGAACGCUGGCGGCGUGCCUAAUACAUGCAAGUCGAGCGAACAGACGAGGAGCUUGCUCCUCUGACGUUAGCGGCGGACGGGUGAGUAACACGUGGAUAACCUACCUAUAAGACUGGGAUAACUUCGGGAAACCGGAGCUAAUACCGGAUAAUAUAUUGAACCGCAUGGUUCAAUAGUGAAAGACGGUUUUGCUGUCACUUAUAGAUGGAUCCGCGCCGCAUUAGCUAGUUGGUAAGGUAACGGCGUACCAAGGCAACGAUGCGUAGCUGACCUGAGAGGGUGAUCAGUCACACUGGAACUGAGACACGGUCCAGACUCCUACGGGAGGCAGCAGUAGGGAAUAUUCGGCAAUGGGCGAAAGCCUGACGCAGCCACGCCGCGUGUGUGAAGAAGGUCUUCGGAUCGUAAAACACUGUUAUUAGGGAAGAACAACAGUAUAAGUAAAUCUGGACGUCUUGACGGUACCAACACAGAAAGCCACGGCUAACUACGUG
Molecule: ribosomal RNA, 497 nt
Filed under: uncultured bacterium
Lineage: Bacteria
Description: partial 16S ribosomal RNA
Rfam family: Bacterial small subunit ribosomal RNA
Source: RNAcentral